Molecule: ribosomal RNA, 497 nt
Filed under: uncultured bacterium
Lineage: Bacteria
Description: partial 16S ribosomal RNA
Rfam family: Bacterial small subunit ribosomal RNA
Source: RNAcentral
GAUGAACGCUGGCGGCGUGCCUAAUACAUGCAAGUCGAGCGAACGGACGAGAAGCUUGCUUCUCUGAUGUUAGCGGCGGACGGGUGAGUAACACGUGGAUAACCUACCUAUAAGACUGGGAUAACUUCGGGAAACCGGAGCUAAUACCGGAUAAUAUUUUGAACCGCAUGGUUCAAAAGUUAAAGACGGUCUUGCUGUCACUUAUAGGUGGAUCCGCGCUGCAUUAGCUAGUUGGUAAGGUAACGGCUUACCAAGGCAACGAUGCAUAGCCGACCUGAGAGGGUGAUCCGCCACACUGGAACUGAGACACGGUCCAGACUCCUACGGGAGGCAGCAGUAGGGAAUCUUCCGCAAUGGGCGAAAGCCUGACGGAGCAACGCCGCGUGAGUGAUGAAGGUCUUCGGAUCGUAAAACUCUGUUAUUAGGGAAGAACAUAUGUGUAAGUAACAGUGCACAUCUUGACGGUACCUAAUCAGAAAGCCACGGCUAACUACGUG